AACGAACGCUGGCGGCAGGCCUAACACAUGCAAGUCGAGCGAGGACUUCGGUCCUAGCGGCGGACGGGGGAGUAACGCGUGGGAACGUGCCCUUUGCUUCGGAAUAGCCCUGGGAAACUGGGAGUAAUACCGGAUGAGCCCUUUGGGGGAAAGAUUUAUCGGCGAAGGAUCGGCCCGCGUUGGAUUAGGUAGUUGGUGGGGUAAUGGCCUACCAAGCCGACGAUCCAUAGCUGGUUUGAGAGGAUGAUCAGCCACACUGGGACUGAGACACGGCCCAGACUCCUACGGGAGGCAGCAGUGGGGAAUCUUAGACAAUGGGGGAAACCCUGAUCGAGCCAUGCCGCGUGAGCGAUGAAGGCCUUAGGGUUGUAAAGCUCUUUCAGCUGGGAAGAUAAUGACGGUACCAGCAGAAGAAGCCCCGGCUAACUCCGUG
RNAcentral lists this ribosomal RNA (433 nucleotides) under uncultured bacterium. RNAcentral describes it as "partial 16S ribosomal RNA". It matches the Rfam family "Bacterial small subunit ribosomal RNA", at positions 29 to 507 of the family's 1533-position model. The record is from RNAcentral.